Molecule: transfer RNA, 87 nt
Filed under: Salmonella enterica
Lineage: Bacteria; Pseudomonadati; Pseudomonadota; Gammaproteobacteria; Enterobacterales; Enterobacteriaceae
Also listed under: 1 other name
Description: tRNA-Leu
Rfam family: tRNA
About the family: Transfer RNA (tRNA) molecules are approximately 80 nucleotides in length. Their secondary structure includes four short double-helical elements and three loops (D, anti-codon, and T loops). Further hydrogen bonds mediate the characteristic L-shaped molecular structure. tRNAs have two regions of fundamental functional importance: the anti-codon, which is responsible for specific mRNA codon recognition, and the 3' end, to which the tRNAs corresponding amino acid is attached (by aminoacyl-tRNA synthetases). tRNAs cope with the degeneracy of the genetic code in two manners: having more than one tRNA (with a specific anti-codon) for a particular amino acid; and 'wobble' base-pairing, i.e. permitting non-standard base-pairing at the 3rd anti-codon position.
Source: RNAcentral
GCGAGGGUGGCGGAAUUGGUAGACGCGCUAGCUUCAGGUGUUAGUGUUCUUACGGACGUGGGGGUUCAAGUCCCCCCCCUCGCACCA